Molecule: ribosomal RNA, 523 nt
Filed under: uncultured Geobacillus sp.
Lineage: Bacteria; Bacillati; Bacillota; Bacilli; Caryophanales; Anoxybacillaceae
Description: bacterial SSU rRNA
Rfam family: Bacterial small subunit ribosomal RNA
Source: RNAcentral
AGAGUUUGAUCCUGGCUCAGGACGAACGCUGGCGGCGUGCCUAAUACAUGCAAGUCGGGCGGAGCCCGAGGGGAGCUUGCUCCUUUUCGGGCUCAGCGGCGGACGGGUGAGUAACACGUGGGUAACCUGCCCGUAAGACCGGGAUAACUCCGGGAAACCGGGGCUAAUACCGGAUAACACCGGGGGCCGCAUGGCUUCCGGUUGAAAGGCGGCCUUUGGCUGCCACUUACGGAUGGGCCCGCGGCGCAUUAGCUAGUUGGUGGGGUAACGGCCCACCAAGGCGACGAUGCGUAGCCGGCCUGAGAGGGUGGACGGCCACACUGGGACUGAGACACGGCCCAGACUCCUACGGGAGGCAGCAGUAGGGAAUCUUCCGCAAUGGGCGAAAGCCUGACGGAGCGACGCCGCGUGAGCGAGGAAGGCCUUCGGGUCGUAAAGCUCUGUUGUCAGGGAAGAAGGCGCGCCGUUCGAAGAGGGCGGCGCGGUGACGGUACCUGACGAGGAAGCCCCGGCUAACUACGUG